This 482-nucleotide ribosomal RNA is filed under the name uncultured bacterium. RNAcentral describes it as "partial 16S ribosomal RNA". It matches the Rfam family "Bacterial small subunit ribosomal RNA", at positions 30 to 507 of the family's 1533-position model. The record is from RNAcentral.
AUUGAACGCUGGCGGCAUGCUUUACACAUGCAAGUCGAACGGUAACAGGCCGCAAGGUUCUGCCGAGGGGCGGACGGGUGCGUAAUGCAUCGGAACGUGCCCAGUCGUGGGGGUUAACUACUCGAAAGAGUAGCUAAUACCGCAUACGAUCUCUGGCUGAAAGCGGGGGAACGCAAGGCCUCGCCCGAUUGUACCGGCCGAUGUCAGAUUAGGUAGUUGGUGGGGUAAAGGCUCACCAAGGCAACGAUCUGUAGCUGGUCUGAGAGGACGACCAGCCACACUGGAACUGAGACACGGCCCAGACUCCUACGGGAGGCAGCAGUGGGGAAUUUUGGACAAUGGGCGCAAGCCUGAUCCAGCAAUGCCGCGUGCAGGAAGAAGGCCUUCGGGUUGUAAACUGCUUUUGUACGGAACGAAACGGCUCUGGUUAAUACCCGGGGCUAAUGACGGUACCGUAAGAAUAAGCACCGGCUAACUACGUG